UACGUAGGGGGCAAGCGUUGUCCGGAAUUAUUGGGCGUAAAGAGCUCGUAGGCGGCUUGUCACGUCGACUGUGAAAACCCGGGGCUCAACUCCGGGCCUGCAGUCGAUACGGGCUGGCUUGAGUGCGGUAGGGGAGACUGGAAUUCCUGGUGUAGCAGUGAAAUGCGUAGAUAUCAGGAGGAACACCGAUGGCGAAGGCAGGUCUCUGGGCUGACACUGACGCUCAUGCACGAAAGCGUGGGGAGCAAACAGG
Molecule: ribosomal RNA, 253 nt
Filed under: uncultured bacterium
Lineage: Bacteria
Description: partial 16S ribosomal RNA
Rfam family: Bacterial small subunit ribosomal RNA
Source: RNAcentral